RNAcentral lists this long non-coding RNA (452 nucleotides) under Homo sapiens (human). RNAcentral's name for it is "HSALNT0021386". Lineage: Eukaryota; Metazoa; Chordata; Mammalia; Primates; Hominidae. The record is from RNAcentral.
CUUGCCCAAGAUCUCCUGCUUUCUGGAUUCCCCAGGAUCAACCAUCUGAGCAGAUACCUUGGAAUGUCCCCAGAUUUCAGAGCCUCGGACCAGCAGCAACACACUCUGAAGUAGGUCUCAGAAGACAAAAAGCUGAAAUCAACUCAUGCUUCCUGCUACACAGAAUCCACUGAGAGGAAAAGGAAACUUCACCGAAACUUCAGAAAGCUACAGAAAUGACAUCCAUUUUCACAAUCCCAGAAGGAAAGAUGCAUCUGAAGGGAAUAAAAACAGAGCAAUGGAAGAGUAUUUGUUAAAAUAAAUGGCUUUGACAGGGCAUUUUCUCUAAAGGUCUCCUUUGCCUCAAAUAGUACUCCUGCCUUCAGUCCAUCUUGCAUGCCACCCAGCUGUGGGCAUCCUGGCAGUUGCUGCCAUGUCCUUGCCUAAAAGCCUCCACCCCCAACCAACCCACC